UACGUAGGGUCCGAGCGUUGUCCGGAAUUAUUGGGCGUAAAGAGCUCGUAGGCGGUCUGUCGCGUCGGCUGUGAAAACCUGGGGCUCAACUCCAGGCCUGCAGUCGAUACGGGCAGACUAGAGUUCGGUAGGGGAGACUGGAAUUCCUGGUGUAGCGGUGAAAUGCGCAGAUAUCAGGAGGAACACCAGUGGCGAAGGCGAGUCUCUGGACGAUUCCUGACGCUGAGGCACGAAAGCUAGGGGAGCAAACGGG
Molecule: ribosomal RNA, 253 nt
Filed under: uncultured bacterium
Lineage: Bacteria
Description: partial 16S ribosomal RNA
Rfam family: Bacterial small subunit ribosomal RNA
Source: RNAcentral